This 490-nucleotide ribosomal RNA is filed under the name uncultured bacterium. RNAcentral's name for it is "partial 16S ribosomal RNA". It matches the Rfam family "Bacterial small subunit ribosomal RNA", at positions 28 to 507 of the family's 1533-position model. The record is from RNAcentral.
GAUGAACGCUAGCUACAGGCUUAACACAUGCAAGUCGAGGGGCAGCAUGGUCUUAGCUUGCUAAGGCCGAUGGCGACCGGCGCACGGGUGAGUAACACGUAUCCAACCUGCCGUCUACUCUUGGACAGCCUUCUGAAAGGAAGAUUAAUACAAGAUGGCAUCAUGAGUUCACAUGUUCACAUGAUUAAAGGUAUUCCGGUAGACGAUGGGGAUGCGUUCCAUUAGAUAGUAGGCGGGGUAACGGCCCACCUAGUCUUCGAUGGAUAGGGGUUCUGAGAGGAAGGUCCCCCACAUUGGAACUGAGACACGGUCCAAACUCCUACGGGAGGCAGCAGUGAGGAAUAGUGAUCAAUGGGCGAGAGCCUGAACCAGCCAAGUAGCGUGAAGGAUGACUGCCCUAUGGGUUGUAAACUUCUUUUAUAAAGGAAUAAAGUCGGGUAUGUAUACCCGUUUGCAUGUACUUUAUGAAUAAGGAUCGGCUAACUCCGUG